Long non-coding RNA from Lolium rigidum, 2688 nucleotides. RefSeq lists it as uncharacterized. The transcript is spliced from 6 exons. NCBI's taxonomy places the organism in Eukaryota, Viridiplantae, Streptophyta, Magnoliopsida, Poales, Poaceae. The record is from RefSeq and is a predicted model, not a curated record.
ACGACGACCCACUGCUGGAGGCGAACUGCGGCGUCGAUGGAGACGGGGAGGCGCGAUGUGUGGGUGAUUGGUUGCUGCUAACGAGGGAGAUGGGAAGGGGGAGAAAAAAAGGUGAAGGAGAUGGGAGAGGAAGAGGACACACCGAAUCACCAUAGAUCUGCUCCAACAAAGGUGUAAACCACAUUCACUCGGCAAUAAUAAGGUACAGUACAGAAACUUCAUACUUUCCACCACUGCAAUGUUCUGGUUUACUGUAUGAUGUGCAAUUGAAAAGUAAUUUUCAGUUCAGAUUGCUAUAUAUUUUCUUGGAGAAUGAGAUGAUCACGGUCAAAGGGUAUCAAUGUGCUUCUAAUUUUCCUUAUUUUUGUUCAUGAUUGUAUUUCAAUAAGAAACCAAAUUAUUUAUUUAUGUUGAUUGAUUGUAAAUGCACGCUCCUAAUUUGCAUAUGCUACUCCUUCCCUUGGCGGAGGGAUGUUUGCAUCCGAUCUGAGGGUGCAAUGGUGGUCAAUUGUUUCCUAUUGUUACUACCCUUUGAUUUUUUUAAUCUCUGCAUGAAAUAUAUUGAAUAAUAUUUAAAUCAAUGUCUUGCCUAUAAUAAUCUGAUGAACCAACCUUUAGAGAGAAAAAUUUGGCAAGCAAUUACUGCGAUGAUUGACAUCAAUGAGCUGACUUGGGGCUUUUCCUAUUUGUAUGUGCAACGAUUGGAGGCUUUGAAAGAUUUGAAUGGAGCACAAUUAGGCUCAUGAGGAUGUCUUUCAUGUUUGGGUUGGGAAUGGGGAUUUCAGUUUGAUUUUGGUACAAGAUUGGAAGUCUGGUUUAAUGGCAACAUUAGAUGUUUCAGGUAUACCAAUUGCUUCAGAUGUUCUCAUUGUCCCUACCGUUCUCGAUUCAGGCUCCCUGGUCAUCAAGGAUUCCGCAAUAGCUUCAACUCUGCUGUUGACCCCAAUUGUUGAUCAAACGCCAAUGGAGGCGCUCCCAACACCCAAUAGAGGGGCUGCCAUUGUCUACUGCGUCUAUGGAUGGGCCUGCAACUCCGGCACCUGGUGGUGCAGCCACUGAAAAGAGGGGCAGGUCAUCGUCGCGGACGGCCUUGGAUAAUGAUCUAUAAAAAGAACAAGAACUAUAUUGUGAGAUAGAACAUAGGAUGGUGCUCAUGGGGUUGCCACCGUGGACAUCUGAGGUGUGCCUGGCCGUGUAUAGAUCAACAUCUUCUAGCUCAGUGUAUCUAGGUAAUUUAUUCUACUACUACUAUCAUGGAUUUAUCUACUUGGUAGUGAUAUACGCAAAACUGCAUGGUUGCAAGCCUCCAUAUGUCGAUUCCUUGAUGACAUGACCACGAGGAGAGAAAUAGUUUAGAUUUACUUUCUAUUCGCACGUUCAACUUUUUUCUGGAUAAGUUGUAUAAUCAAAAUCUUCUGUGCUACGAGAUGAAUUUAUCCCCAGGUAUGCAGGCCAUACUCGAAAAAAAAACUGAGCGAAAAUCUACAUUUCUGAUAGUCUCCGCUCUAUGCAGUGCUACUAAAAAAGCCAAGAGAAAAUCGAGAAAAGAGGAAGUAUGCAUUUAUAUUCUCUUAUAAAACCCCUUUAUAUUUUAAUUUAAUUCUACUUACUUGAUUGCAACCUGUAAAAGGGGUUUUUAGAUGAAAGUGACAAUGUUCCAUGCUCAAAGAUUUGGACCGACCAUUAUGGGUACAGUCAGCUGUUGUGUUUUUUUCUCAAGGUAUUUCACUUUGGCAAGUAGUAGUAGUAUGCUAAACUUAGAACAAGCAUGUUGCUUUCUACAUAUGCAUCUUAGUUCAGAAAAGGCAUUACCUAAGCUGUAGUGAAUGGGGCAUGAUCAUGGCUUCAUGGGUGUAACUUUGAGGCUCUUGUGAUGCCAUCUGUGCACAAAUCCCCUCUCAGUAUGAACUGGGAUGUGAAGGCUAUGACAUGAAUUUCUCCCUCGCAAUGUUUUUCAUGCAAAAAUUUCUGUGUUUACGCAUGGUGCUAAAUUAUCCAAAUGCAUUUUGUGUAUUAGGCUUAAGAAAAUUCAUAAAUUGAAGAAGAAAAUAUUCAAGGUCUCUUACAUAACCAGAAUGUUGCAACUGAGAUUUUAUUUCAAAAAAUCUCCUGAAUACAAGAGAAAUAUGAACUGUAAUGAAACCUUUACUUCUAUUGCCUACAUGUUUGAUGUAACUAAUAUUUAAGAAAAGGCCAGAAUGUCCGGUUUACAUAAUGAGCCUGUAAUUUCAGGUUUGUGAGCUGUAUUAAUACUUCUGUCUUCAUGAGAUUCUUUUUUUUCUGUAUGUUGCGUUUAGUAAAUUUUGCAAUGCUCUUUCUGUUUUGGCUUCAAUACACCAGGAUAUGACACUCAAUGUUCUUUAUCAGUGACUUGUAAAAAGAUGCCCCGCAUAGAAUAUCCAUGUGGCUACCUCUCCAUGAAGUGGCGCAUGGAGAUCAGAUGGCUUUGGAGCUGGCUGAAAUCGAAAAGGUCUAUUUUGCAGCUGUCCAUGUGGCUACCUCUGUGUAUCUGGUAUACAAGGUUCUCUUUUAGUUCCCAAAACUGUGGAGGAUGCAAUAGAGUUAAAAUUUGUGUAUCUGAUUGGAUUUUCGUAAGAUUAGUCAUCCAUCGUAGAUAUUUUAUUUUAACACCAAUAGCUGACCUAUUUUCCUUAAAUUAAUUUUAUGCAUAUGCAUAUGUUCCGUUUU